Neopsephotus bourkii (Bourke's parrot) is the source of this 914-nucleotide long non-coding RNA. RefSeq lists it as uncharacterized. NCBI's taxonomy places the organism in Eukaryota, Metazoa, Chordata, Aves, Psittaciformes, Psittacidae. The record is from RefSeq and is a predicted model, not a curated record. The transcript has 4 exons.
AUUUGGGACCUGUGGUUUCAGGUGUGAGCGCAACCAUAAAGUAAAACUGCCUCCAGCACUGCCUUGACAGGGCAUGGAAAUGUGGCCAGCCCCAGCUCAGGGGUAACAUAAAGUCCGUCUCCUUCCCAUGGUGCCCGGGCAGGCCUGCCCUUACUUGCUCUGCAGAGGGCUGCGAGCCCUGGAGGGUGCAGAGCCGCCGGGCUGUGAGAUCCCACCGUGCAGGAGCUCUAUCCAGCCCCUCUGGCCCGCAGAGCUGGUGGGACUGGGCCAGCUCAGCUUCCCCAGGCCUCGCCAAGCAGCCCGACAUGGCGGGUGUUUGCGUGUCACUGGGGCUUUCACAGCACUUGGGUUUUGUUAGAGGAGGAGGAGUUUCUCCCUUGACAUUUUCACAGCUCCGGAAGGAACAGGAGGGAUUGAUGACUCUGAGCACAGCAAAGACAAAGAGAGCUAUGGAGAACAGGACCCCGUUGUGCUAAUUUCUGGGUAAACUUAUAAUGAGAGUCCCCAUACUGACGAGUCCAUUUUAUAAAUGGAAAAAGAGACCCAGAGAGAGCAGGGACACAAAAGGGAGCGGACAAUACAGGAGCCACGAAUAUCAGGUAAGGUGGCUUUGGAGAACUGCUGAGGAUCCUCUUUCAGCAGUUUGUCUACACUGCCUUCAUUAGGAUGACACGUCCAGCCAUCGAUUCUCCAACAGACACCUAAAAGGCACAAACUGCGAGGAAGUUUCCAUGUGGAUAUAACCCAUCUCACAGCUGUUUCAUCUUUCAGGACCUCAAGAGCAAGUGGUAAUCAUUCUACCAUGGGAACAAAAGACAGCAGGUUAGCUCAAACUUGCCAUUCUUAGCUGGUCAAAACAGAAGUUCUGUCUCCAUAACUCCAACUUUCCCUUCAAAUACAUGUGUUGAAACUUU